This 326-nucleotide ribosomal RNA is filed under the name uncultured bacterium. RNAcentral's name for it is "bacterial SSU rRNA". It matches the Rfam family "Bacterial small subunit ribosomal RNA", at positions 32 to 339 of the family's 1533-position model. The record is from RNAcentral.
AAUCAACGCUGGCGGCGUGCCUAACACAUGCAAGUCGAACGCGAAAGCCCUUUCGGGGGUAAGUAGAGUGGCGUCCGGGUGAGUAACACGUAGGUAAUCUACCUUCGGGUGGGGAAUAACUCGCCGAAAGGCGAGCUAAUACCGCAUAAUGCAGCGGCACCUAAUGGUGAUUAGUUGUUAAAGCGGGGGAUCGUAAGACCUCGCGCCUGAAGAGGAGCCUGCGGCAGAUUAGCUAGNGGUGAGGUAAUGGCUCACCAAGGCUUCGAUCUGUAGCUGGUCUGAGAGGACGGCCAGCCACACUGGCACUGACACACGGGCCAGACUCC